Molecule: non-coding RNA, 88 nt
Filed under: Pseudomonas sp. SJZ094
Lineage: Bacteria; Pseudomonadati; Pseudomonadota; Gammaproteobacteria; Pseudomonadales; Pseudomonadaceae
Also listed under: 1 other name
Source: RNAcentral
GUGGGAGGGGGCUUGCUCCCGAUAGCAGUGGAUCAGCCAGCAUCAGUGGUGGCUGGCACACCGUAAUCGGGAGCAAGCCCCCUCCCAC